CAGAAGGGAGCUUGCUCCCGGAUGUUAGCGGCGGACGGGUGAGUAACACGUGGGUAACCUGCCUGUAAGACUGGGAUAACUCCGGGAAACCGGAGCUAAUACCGGAUAGUUCCUUGAACCGCAUGGUUCAAGGAUGAAAGACGGUUUCGGCUGUCACUUACAGAUGGACCCGCGGCGCAUUAGCUAGUUGGUGGGGUAAUGGCUCACCAAGGCGACGAUGCGUAGCCGACCUGAGAGGGUGAUCGGCCACACUGGGACUGAGACACGGCCCAGACUCCUACGGGAGGCAGCAGUAGGGAAUCUUCCGCAAUGGACGAAAGUCUGACGGAGCAACGCCGCGUGAGUGAUGAAGGUUUUCGGAUCGUAAAGCUCUGUUGUUAGGGAAGAACAAGUGCGAGAGUAACUGCUCGCACCUUGACGGUACCUAACCAGAAAGCCACGGCUAACUACGUGCCAGCAGCCGCGGUAAUACGUAGGUGGCAAGCGUUGUCCGGAAUUAUUGGGCGUAAAGGGCUCGCAGGCGGUUUCUUAAGUCUGAUGUGAAAGCCCCCGGCUCAACCGGGGAGGGUCAUUGGAAACUGGGAAACUUGAGUGCAGAAGAGGAGAGUGGAAUUCCACGUGUAGCGGUGAAAUGCGUAGAGAUGUGGAGGAACACCAGUGGCGAAGGCGACUCUCUGGUCUGUAACUGACGCUGAGGAGCGAAAGCGUGGGGAGCGAACAGUAUUAGAUACCCUGGUAGUCCACGCCGUAAACGAUGAGUGCUAAGUGUUAGGGGGUUUCCGCCCCUAAG
Molecule: ribosomal RNA, 790 nt
Filed under: Bacillus sp. BH12.1-1
Lineage: Bacteria; Bacillati; Bacillota; Bacilli; Caryophanales; Bacillaceae
Description: bacterial SSU rRNA
Rfam family: Bacterial small subunit ribosomal RNA
Source: RNAcentral